AUACGGAGGAUGCAAGCGUUAUCCGGAUUUAUUGGGUUUAAAGGGUGCGUAGGCGGAUGAUUAAGCGUGAGGUGAAAUGCCACUGCUCAACAGUGGAACUGCCUCGCGAACUGGUUGUCUUGAAUGCUCCUGCCGUGGGAGGAAUGCGUGGUGUAGCGGUGAAAUGCAUAGAGAUCACACAGAACACCGAUUGCGAAGGCAUCUCACGAAGGGGUGAUUGACGCUGAGGCACGAAAGCGUGGGGAUCAAACAGGAUUAGAUACCCUGGUAGUCCACGCAGUAAACGAUGAUAACUAACCGCUGGGUCGUAGUGAUUCAGUGGCCAAGCGAAAGCGAUAAGUUAUCCACCUGGGGAGGACGACCGCAAGGUUGAAACUCAAAGGAAUUGACGGGG
RNAcentral lists this ribosomal RNA (394 nucleotides) under uncultured bacterium. RNAcentral describes it as "partial 16S ribosomal RNA". It matches the Rfam family "Bacterial small subunit ribosomal RNA", at positions 523 to 918 of the family's 1533-position model. The record is from RNAcentral.